Molecule: ribosomal RNA, 404 nt
Filed under: Actinomycetes bacterium
Lineage: Bacteria; Bacillati; Actinomycetota; Actinomycetes
Description: Actinobacteria bacterium partial 16S ribosomal RNA
Rfam family: Bacterial small subunit ribosomal RNA
Source: RNAcentral
UGGGGAAUAUUGGACAAUGGGCGCAAGCCUGAUCCAGCCAUGCCGCGUGAGUGAUGAAGGCCCUAGGGUUGUAAAGCUCUUUCACCGGUGAAGAUAAUGACGGUAACCGGAGAAGAAGCCCCGGCUAACUUCGUGCCAGCAGCCGCGGUAAUACGAAGGGGGCUAGCGUUGUUCGGAUUUACUGGGCGUAAAGCGCACGUAGGCGGACUUUUAAGUCAGGGGUGAAAUCCCGGGGCUCAACCCCGGAACUGCCUUUGAUACUGGAAGUCUUGAGUAUGGUAGAGGUGAGUGGAAUUCCGAGUGGAGAGGGGAAAUUCGGAGAUAUUCGGGAGAACACCAGGGGGGAAGGCGGCUCACUGGACCAUUACUGACGCUGAGGUGCGAAAGCGUGGGGAGCAAACAGG